AUUGAACGCUGGCGGCAGGCCUAACACAUGCAAGUCGAACGGUAACAGGAAACAGCUUGCUGUUUCGCUGACGAGUGGCGGACGGGUGAGUCAUGUCUGGGAAACUGCCUGAUGGAGGGGGAUAACUACUGGAAACGGUAGCUAAUACCGCAUAACGUCGCAAGACCAAAGAGGGGGACCUUCGGGCCUCUUGCCAUCGGAUGUGCCCAGAUGGGAUUAGCUAGUAGGUGGGGUAACGGCUCACCUAGGCGACGAUCCCUAGCUGGUCUGAGAGGAUGACCAGCCACACUGGAACUGAGACACGGUCCAGACUCCUACGGGAGGCAGCAGUGGGGAAUAUUGCACAAUGGGCGCAAGCCUGAUGCAGCCAUGCCGCGUGUAUGAAGAAGGCCUUCGGGUUGUAAAGUACUUUCAGCGGGGAGGAAGGGAGUAAAGUUAAUACCUUUACUCAUUGACGUUACCCGCAGAAGAAGCACCGGCUAACUCCGUG
This 490-nucleotide ribosomal RNA is filed under the name uncultured bacterium. RNAcentral's name for it is "partial 16S ribosomal RNA". It matches the Rfam family "Bacterial small subunit ribosomal RNA", at positions 30 to 507 of the family's 1533-position model. The record is from RNAcentral.